Meriones unguiculatus (Mongolian gerbil) is the source of this 3601-nucleotide long non-coding RNA. RefSeq lists it as uncharacterized. The transcript has 6 exons. The record is from RefSeq and is a predicted model, not a curated record. NCBI's taxonomy places the organism in Eukaryota, Metazoa, Chordata, Mammalia, Rodentia, Muridae.
GAUUUAGGACCUGGUGCGGAGAACGGGCGGGUGGGACUGGAGUCGUCCACCAAUGAGAGCGAGUUCUGCAGCCGCCCUCUUGGUAAAGGAAAGUGAACCAGGAAGAAAAGGGGACCAAGUGAAAGAGGGACCUGAGCUGCAGAACCAACCAAGCCGGCAAUUAGAUUAUCGGUUAUGUAGCAAGGGAGUCUGGAAAUGGCCAUGAAAUUCGCGUACCAAAGAGGAAAUCUAAACAUGGUUUCUCAUGUUAUGUCUCCUGUUAGUGUGCAUGCAGAUGGACACCAGUUUUGUUGGUGGACAGAAGCAGGCACUACCUUCAGCAGGGAGGUCAUUAAAUCUUCAGCGCAAUUUCUGACUUCCAGGAGACCUGUUCAGGCAAGCAGACUACUCUCUGCAGGCCAGACUUUCGUGGUUUGCUGAGUUGUGUUUGCUGGCCACAGCGCUCAGUCAGGACGAUGGUCAUCAGGAAAACAUGGCUGCAGGACCAGGCACUCUGGCGGGGCUGACGUGGAGAAUGAGGAGGGCAGGAGGGCCGCCUCACACUGAUUUACAGGAGACAACUGCGACACAGUCCACAGAGCUGCAGUCAUCCCCUCUUGUCCCUCAGAGCUGGUGAGCUGGUCCACGCUGUUCCAGAAGUCCUUAUCGUAGCUGUGACGCUCUGGAGCCUCCUCACAAGUCAGUGAUGAUCAAACCCAAAAGAUGAGGGCACGGAGAGGUUAAGCUCCAAACAGCAUCCUCGAAGGCUCUCCUGGGAGCCCAGCAGAGAAUCCCCAUCAACAGGCUGUUCUCUUGUAAGCGCUGGCGUCGCUCUCAGUUUCCAUGGUGUUGGGGCACCAUGCUGACUAGUCAAGCUUCUCGCCUGGGAAGACAUCAUGCUGCCUGUACCAGGGACUUCAGCUUCUCCCAAAAACUCUGCAGUGGUGGUAAGCCUCGUCUGGGCUUACAAUCAAAAAGCAACAAAGCUCUCCUGCACCAGAAGCUUUACACAUCAUCAGGGUCAAGUUCUGUGCCUCGCCUUUUUAAACAAGACUUUGUGUCUCACAGAAACCCUCUGAGCCUCUGAGUCAGACAUGUGUGUUGAUGUUGGCCGAUGGAAGGAUUCAUCCUUCUUCAGUUGGUUUGUGAGUGUUGGCAUUACAACCUGUCCUCAGGCAUCCUGAGGCAGGUGAGGCAGGUCAGCAUUGAGUGCACUGGGCCGUUAUAGCCAUACUGGUUCCUGGCUAGAAAAUAGAAUCUUAACCUGUUAGAAAACACACCAUCUAACAAAGUCCUUCUCCACUUGCGUUGAACUCCUAAUAUACUAUUCUACCCUGAAAUAAGCUUCGCUAGUGGAGGAUAGAUUAGUGUCUUCCCCUGAGCUCUGUGAAUAAGCACAGUGUGCCGUCCAUACACACCAGUGAACAUACAUGACACAGAUGUAACAUAUAUGACACAGGUUGAACAUAUACACAGAUAUAUACACCACACGCAUAUAUAGAAAACUACACACAGACACACGCAUACAGACACACACACAAAUUCCCACUGAUGUAGGUGUGUGGGAUUCAACUUAUGUCUGAUCUGUGACAGUCACCACACUGCUCUGGAUGGUGACAUGGCUGCAGUCCUGCGGUUGGAGAAAAGGAAAUGUGGGUAAAGCAUGGGAAACUCCUUUUUAAAAACCACUUACACUUUUUCUAUCGUACCAAAAGAGGGUCUCAUGUGACCCAGGCUAGACCACAUAACCUAGGUAUCCCAGGAUGAUUCAGAACUUAUCCUCCUGCCGCCUCCCCAGUGCUGGGUUUUAGGCAAACACCACCAUGACAGAUUUCGCUGGUGCUGGGAAUUGGAACCAGGGCUUUGUGCUUGAAGCAGGGGCACCCUCCCAGCUGAGCCACGUCCCCAGCCAUGAGCCUCUGGUGUAAGAAGCUCACUGAAGGCCAAUAGUUCUCAGCCUAGAGGUGAGAUCGUGAUGUCAGUGGCAGUUAUGGUAAAGGGUUUGGGACCCAGCACGCCUACCUAGUACUCCUCACGGUCAGAGGCAGUGUCUUCCCAUAUAUCUUUGCACAGAUUUUCCAGAGUCAUUUGUGAACUAGUCUUUAUGGGGACCAGUAAGUUCACUGCAGUGUUGGAGUCAUGAUGCCAAUCAGAUGGUAAAGGUGAGGUGUUCUGUGCCCGAAGGCAUGCUCACCCUUGACAUACAAAGCCCUGAGAGUCUGUCAGUCUGACGCAGUUUGGCUGUGUAGCGCAUCUUGCUUCAAACUGGUGAUCCUCCUGCUGCAGCCUCCAAAGUGCUGACGUUACAGAUGUGUUUCCCCAUGGCCAGGUUUGGAAAGGUUCAUUACAUUGGGUUCCAGGCCUGGCACUGCUGUUCCAGGAUUUUUUUUUUUUUUGAUUGUACAAUCUCUAUGUCAGCAUCCUGGUACCUAAACAUUAUUAUAUCCCAAGAUAGAUCUAGGUGUUGUGGAACAGAACUGUUACAUAGUUCUUCCUCACACUUAGCUGAGCCCUCAUCUGUGUUUGGUUCGUGAGACUGCGCGGUAGGGCUGGAGAGACGGUGCUGUGUUUAUCAGCACCGACUGUUCGGGCAGGGGAGCAGAAUUGCUUGACUCCAGAUCCAGGGCAUUGAUUGGAUCACCUCUUCUAACCACAACAGGCACUAAACUCACGUUCACAAAUCUACAGAGACACAGAAUUAACAUAAAACCAUUAUCUGUUUUUAAAAGACUCCACAAUGAAGUUACAGAAAUAAACAAAAGUAAUGAAUUAUAUAUAUGUUUUACAAAAGAAAGCUGAAAUUUCAUUUGGUUUUUAUUGUUAGGAUCAGGAGUAUGAUGCAAACCACAAACACACACACAUGUGUAGUGACACACACACUUCUGCCUCUUGGGAUUAGCACUCUGAUCCCAGGAUCUUAGCCUUCUCUGGGUCUCUGUGGCUACAUCCCUGGCUCUUACACAUUUCUGGGACAGGGUUCUGGUCCUUUCACUAUGUUGCUGCAUUUCUUUUGGCUCCCAACUUUAUGGAAAAGUCCAAGCUGAUGUGGAGUAAAGUGCCAGGAUGUCACUGAUCCGAGGCUGAUCUGAUGCACCGAGAUGCACACAACUGGGAGAAGAAACCACUUCUAGGGAGACCUGAACCCCACAUGCUCACUGUUUGUGUCCAGGGGAACACACCACUGGGACGGAUUCAGGCAUCAUCCUUUGCUACCCAAAAUGGCAUUGUAAAUCAACUGCACAGGAGGCUGUCUGGGUGAGAAGGCUUUGAGAAGACUAAGCCAGGGAUUCCCAGUGAGCCCAGCCAGCCAUGCCUGAUCCACCAAGGAAGCUGAUUCUCAUUCCAUCCUCACGAAGAGUUCCCAUGGCUACCUCAAACAUGAGUUCAGCAUCUCUCUGGAUCCUCAGCUGCCUGCUUCAGUCCUGUCCAUGGGACCUGUGUGAUUUCUCCUUAUGUGAGAGGAGCCUCUGCCGCCCUGAUGGGGCACAGCAUGCAAGCCAGUAAUGAUUUAUACAAUUGAACAGAAAAGGAUGAAGGCACAAGAUGAUGUCUCGCAGGUCAGCACUUCCCGAGAGCUGAGUUCAAGGGGCUGUGAGCUCCCAAAUCUAGAAAUAAGCCACCC